GGGGGCCGUUACACUGUAAGAGAUGUAGUCUGAGGUCUCACAGUGAACCGGUCUCUUU
Molecule: microRNA precursor, 58 nt
Organism: Hucho hucho (huchen)
Lineage: Eukaryota; Metazoa; Chordata; Actinopteri; Salmoniformes; Salmonidae
Source: Ensembl